This is an RNA transcript of Nicotiana attenuata, 3049 nucleotides long. RefSeq lists it as uncharacterized. The transcript is spliced from 4 exons. Lineage: Eukaryota; Viridiplantae; Streptophyta; Magnoliopsida; Solanales; Solanaceae. The record is from RefSeq and is a predicted model, not a curated record.
AAAAAGAAACGAGAAAGGAGAAGGUUUAAUUGAGCUCAAAUUUUUUUGGCUCUCUCAUUCUCUCUUCUAAAACCAGAAUCGGACCCCCAAUGACGAACCCUAGCAGCCUUCUUCCUCGAACAAGAAACAGGGACGGCGUCAGACCCCUUUCCCUUUGAAAAAGAACCAGCCGCCAUUUCUAACGUCAAAAUUCGAGUAAGCUGUACAAUUGCAGUCAACUAAGCACGAUUUCUCGCAUUCUUCAAAGUUUUGAAAUAAAAUAGUUGCUAAAAAAUAGGAUAGAAAAGGGAUUUCGGCAAUUGUUUGAAUCCACUGCUGCUCGCUUCUAUUUUCUGGGUUCCUAAGCAUUAUUUUGGUCUAAAGUGCUGCUGAUCUUGCUGUGACCUGUUGCUGAGCUCCAAAUCGUAGCUGUUUUCAUCCUUCUUGACUGUUUUUUAUCUAAGCUCAACUUGAGAAUCAAGACUUUCCCUGAAUUAAUGUUUCGUUCAAAGCUUGGGGAGAUUAAUGCUCAGUUAAGAAAGGAAGGGGGGCUGAGAAGUAUCUUAUCCUCUUCUCUUUUAUGGUCCAACCAUUUCGGUCUUGGAGGUGUUGUUGAUAGUUCGAGUCUUUUUCUGUGGAUAUGGUAUACUGACAAAAUUAACAUGGAUAAGAUUGAAUCUAGAGUGGCCGAUCUCGUAAAGCAGCAUGAUUCGAUGUACAAGGAUUUCCUAAGGAAAGGAAACAUAGCUGAAUGUGAAGCUGUAAAAGCAGCACUUCUAUCUUAUCCAAAGAUUUCUGUUAAACUGGGAAACAUGGUUGAAAACAUAUGAAGGACAUGUGAAUACCGUGGGAGAUUAAAAAUCAUGGGAAAUACCACAAAAUGUACAAUCUGAGAUCACAAAACCUCCCGAUGUAGAUAUUUUACAAGGAAGAAGACAAAAGAAGGGGCAUAUACCUGCGACUGAAUCAUCAGUACCAUUCAAGUCUACCAAAUGCAGUCUAUGUAAACAAGUUGGGCAUAACAGAACAACUUGCUUGUCUUCUCCAGCACUUCAUCCAUAUUCUAAGAAACACGCUGAAAAAUACUCCAAGCUUCAAUAAUCCUUGGUCUGAAUUUAGACUUUCUUUAUUAUAUGACAUAAUUGAAAUGCGAUUUUUUUCAUAGGAAUAAAAAAAAUAAGGUCUUGGACAAUUUUAUAUACUGCUAAAGUACAAAUCACUCAUUUUUGUUGCGCAGGCUUGCAGGUUUGGUUGCAUAUUAAAAAAGUACGCAAUGACUUCUACGAGAAAAAACUUCAGGUUACAGUACGUGAAAUACAUAUCCUUAAACAAACACACACACAUACAAACACUCUCACACAUAUGCGUAUAGCACACAAAAAGAAACGCAUGUACAAACAAAAGUUGUAGCAUCUCUAAGAAACUAAGAAGUAUAAAGCAAAUAUCAACAAAAGAGGGUGACAAUUACAUUGAUAUAAAAAGAGGUCAGAACAACACACAUAUUACAAACAAAACUUCAGCUCUCUGGGCUGAAGUUAUACAAAAUUAACCUAAAAAACUUCAGCUCUAUGGGCUGAAGUAAACAAAAAUCAUACCAUUGGAACAUAAAAAAAGGAUUACAAACACUAACAAUCAUCACCAUCAUCAUCAUCAUCACAGUACUCCUCAAUUUUCUAAAUAUCUCAUCAUCAUCACUAUCGGAGAUAACUAUAGGGUAGUCGGGCAAAAGACUACUGAAUCCAAGAAGAUCAAUCUUCAUCUUGUUGAAGUGUGAGUGGUACAAUAACAAACCGAUGGCUAAUCUUAUGCUUUUGUGGGAUGAAAUAAAGGCUGAUUGGGAGAGAAUUAGACCAAAGCUCUGUGCCAAUCAAUCAUAUCAGAAUAGGCUUAACAUGGAACGUAGUUGUGGAGAUAAUUCAACCUCGUUCGACAAGGUUGUGCAGCAGUUUGAUAGUUUUCAGUUUCCCAGCUGGAACGACUAUUCCAACCUGCAAAACAAACUGAAGACUCUUCUUCCUCUUAUGGAUAGAGUAAUCGUCGAACAAAGUCAACUGCGUGAUGAAUUCAACAAGUUGAAGAUUGAUCUUCUUGGAUUCAGUGGUCUUUUGCCCGACUACCCUAUAGUUAUCUCCGAUAGUGAUGAUGAUGAGAUAUUUAGAAAAAUUGAGGAGUACUGUGAUGAUGAUGGUGAUGAUUGUUAGUGUUUGUAAUCCUUUUUUUAUGUUCCAAUGGUAUAUUUUUGUUUACUUCAGCCCAUAGAGCUGAAGUUUUUUAGGUUAAUUUUGUAUAACUUCAGCCCAGAGAGCUGAAGUUUUGUUUGUAAUAUGUGUGUUGUUCUGACCUCUUUUUAUAUCAAUGUAAUUGUCACCCUCUUUUGUUGAUAUUUGCUUUAUACUUCUUAGUUUCUUAGAGAUGCUACAACUUUUGUUUGUACAUGCGUUUCUUUUUGUGUGCUAUACGCAUAUGUGUGAGAGUGUUUGUAUGUGUGUGUUUGUUUAAGGAUAUGUAUUUCACGUACUGUAACCUGAAGUUUUUUCUCGUAGAAGUCAUUGCGUACUUUUUUAAUAUGCAACCAAGCCUGCGCAACAAAAAUGAGUGAUUUGUACUUUAGCAGUAUAUAAAAUUGUCCAAGACCUUAUUUUUUUUAUUCCUAUGAAAAAAAUCGCAUUUCAAUUAUGUCAUAUAAUAAAGAAAGUCUAAAUUCAGACCAAGUCAACUGCGUGAUGAAUUCAACAAGUUGAAGAUUGAUCUUCUUGGAUUCAGUGGUCUUUUGCCCGACUACCCUAUAGUUAUCUCCGAUAGUGAUGAUGAUGAGAUAUUUAGAAAAAUUGAGGAGUACUGUGAUGAUGAUGGUGAUGAUUGUUAGUGUUUGUAAUCCUUUUUUUAUGUUCCAAUGGUAUGAUUUUUGUUUACUUCAGCCCAUAGAGCUUAAGUUUUUUAGGUUAAUUUUGUAUAACUUCAGCCCAGAGAGCUGAAGUUUUGUUUGUAAUAUGUGUGUUGUUCUGAUCUCUUUUUAUAUCAAUGUAAUUGUCACCCUCUUUUGUUGAUAUUUGCUUUAUACUUCUUAGUU